Molecule: ribosomal RNA, 253 nt
Filed under: uncultured bacterium
Lineage: Bacteria
Description: partial 16S ribosomal RNA
Rfam family: Bacterial small subunit ribosomal RNA
Source: RNAcentral
UACGGGGGGGGCAAGCGUUGUUCGGAAUUACUGGGCGUAAAGGGCUCGUAGGCGGCCAACUAAGUCGGACGUGAAAUCCCCAGGCUCAACCUGGGAACUGCGUCCGAUACUGGAUGGCUUGAACGUCGGAGAGGUAAGUGGAAUUCCGAGUGUAGAGGUGAAAUUCGUAGAUAUUCGGAGGAACACCAGUGGCGAAGGCGGCUCACUGGCUCGACACUGACGCUGAGGUGCGAAAGCGUGGGGAGCAAACAGG